UGCAGUCGAACGGUAACAGGUCUUCGGAUGCUGACGAGUGGCGAACGGGUGAGUAAUACAUCGGAACGUGCCCGAUCGUGGGGGAUAACGGAGCGAAAGCUUUGCUAAUACCGCAUACGAUCUACGGAUGAAAGCGGGGGAUCUUCGGACCUCGCGCGGACGGAGCGGCCGAUGGCAGAUUAGGUAGUUGGUGGGAUAAAAGCUUACCAAGCCGACGAUCUGUAGCUGGUCUGAGAGGAUGAUCAGCCACACUGGGACUGAGACACGGCCCAGACUCCUACGGGAGGCAGCAGUGGGGAAUUUUGGACAAUGGGCGCAAGCCUGAUCCAGCCAUGCCGCGUGCAGGAUGAAGGCCUUCGGGUUGUAAACUGCUUUUGUACGGAACGAAAAGGUUCUUUCUAAUAAAGAGAGCUCAUGACGGUACCGUAAGAAUAAGCACCGGCUAACUACGUGCCACG
This 458-nucleotide ribosomal RNA is filed under the name activated sludge bacterium LB45. RNAcentral describes it as "bacterial SSU rRNA". It matches the Rfam family "Bacterial small subunit ribosomal RNA", at positions 56 to 512 of the family's 1533-position model. The record is from RNAcentral.